CUACGGGUGGCUGCAGUGGGGAAUCUUGCGCAAUGGGCGAAAGCCUGACGCAGCAACGCCGCGUGCGGGAAGAAGGCUUUCGGGCUGUAAACCGCUUUCAGUAGGAACGAAACUGACGGUACCUACAGAAGAAGGAGCGGCCAACUAUGUGCCAGCAGCCGCGGUGACACAUAGGCUCCAAGCGUUGUCCGGGUUUAUUGGGCGUAAAGAGCUCGUAGGCGGUUGAGUAAGUCGAGUGUGAAAACUUCGGGCUUAACCCGAAGACGCCACUCGAUACUGCUCUGACUUGAGUUCGGUAGGGGAGUGGGGAAUUCCUUGUGUAGCGGUGAAAUGCGCAGAUAUAAGGAGGAACACCGGUGGCGAAGGCGCCACUCUGGACCGAAACUGACGCUGAGGAGCGAAAGCGUGGGUAGCAAACAGGAUUAGAUACCCUUGUAGUC
RNAcentral lists this ribosomal RNA (440 nucleotides) under uncultured bacterium. Its description in RNAcentral is "partial 16S ribosomal RNA". It matches the Rfam family "Bacterial small subunit ribosomal RNA", at positions 339 to 795 of the family's 1533-position model. The record is from RNAcentral.